Molecule: ribosomal RNA, 422 nt
Filed under: uncultured prokaryote
Description: bacterial SSU rRNA
Rfam family: Bacterial small subunit ribosomal RNA
Source: RNAcentral
CCUACGGGCGGCAGCAAUUAGGAAUCUUGCGCAAUGGGCGAAAGCCUGACGCAGCGACGCCGCGUGACUGAUGAAGUCUCUCGGGAUGUAAAGGUCUUUUCUGAAGGAAGAAAAAAAUGACGGUACUUCAGGAAUAAGCCCCGGCUAACUACGUGCCAGCAGCCGCGGUAAUACGUAGGGGGCGAGCGUUGUCCGAAUUUACUGGGCGUAAAGCGCGCGUAGGCGGACUAUGAAGUUGGUGGUGAAAUCCCGAGGCUCAACCUCGGAACUGCCUCCGAAACUGUUAGGCUGGAGGUAGGGAGAGGAAAGUGGAAUUCCUGGUGUAGCGGUGAAAUGCGUAGAUAUCAGGAGGAACACCCAUGGCGAAGGCAGCUUUCUGGCCAUAUUCUGACGCUGAGGUGCGAAAGCUAGGGUAGCGAACG